AGCGAACGUUAGCGGCGGGCCUAACACAUGCAAGUCGAGCGAGAAAGGGGCUUCGGCCCUGAGUAAAGCGGCGGACGGGUGAGUAACACGUAGGUAAUCUUCCUUCGAGCGGGGGACAACGGUCCGAAAGGACCGCUAAUACCGCGUACGUUCCCGAGGACCCUGGUCCUUGGGAGGAAAGCUAGGUCGCAAGAUCCGACACUCGGAGAGGAGCCUGCGUCGCAUCAGCUAGUUGGUGGGGUAAUGGCCUACCAAGGCGAAGACGCGUAGCUGGUCUGAGAGGAUGAUCAGCCACACUGGGACUGAGACACGGCCCAGACUCCUACGGGAGGCAGCAGUGGGGAAUAUUGGACAAUGGGCGCAAGCCUGAUCCAGCCACGCCGCGUGAGUGAUGAAGGCCUUCGGGUCGUAAAGCUCUGUGGGGAGGGACGAACCGCUGCACGUGGAUAGCGUGCAGCAUGACGGUACCUCCUUAGCAAGCGCCGGCUAACUUCGUGCCAGCCGCCGCGGUAA
This 513-nucleotide ribosomal RNA is filed under the name uncultured bacterium. RNAcentral's name for it is "partial 16S ribosomal RNA". It matches the Rfam family "Bacterial small subunit ribosomal RNA", at positions 30 to 523 of the family's 1533-position model. The record is from RNAcentral.